RNAcentral lists this unclassified non-coding RNA (404 nucleotides) under soil metagenome. RNAcentral's name for it is "partial contains 5.8S ribosomal RNA, internal transcribed spacer 2, and large subunit ribosomal RNA". The stretch from base 1 to 121 matches the Rfam family "5.8S ribosomal RNA", at positions 35 to 154 of the family's 154-position model. The record is from RNAcentral.
GAUGAAGAACGCAGCGAAAUGCGAUAAGUAAUGUGAAUUGCAGAAUUCAGUGAAUCAUCGAAUCUUUGAACGCACCUUGCGCCCUUUGGACAUUCCGAAGGGCAUGCCUGUUUGAGUAUCAUGAACACCUCAACUCUCACGGCUUGUCCGUGAUGAGCUUGGACUUUGGGGGUCUUGCCGGCCUGUGGUCGGCUCCUCUCAAAUGGAUCAGCUUGCCAGUGUUUGGUGGCAUCACAGGUGUGAUAACUAUCUGCGCUUGUGGUUUUCCAUCAGAUAACCUUCAGUGAUAUGGAGGUUCGCUGGAGCUCACAAAUGUCUCUCCUUAGUGAGGACAGCUCUUUGAACGUUUGAUCUCAAAUCAGGUAGGACUACCCGCUGAACUUAAGCAUAUCAAUAAGCGGAGG